AUGGGGAAUUCAUACGCCGGGCAACUAAAAUCUGCUCGAUUUGAAGAGGCUCUCCACAACUCUAUUGAGGCAUCACUGCGCUCUAGCAGUGGAGAUCCACAGCCCAUCUUCACACAGCUCUACCUUGAGCCGGAGCUGUUUCCUGGUAACUUGGAAGACAUGAAGUCAAAAGCCGACCUCCAUGGUGGGGAGCCGCCAGGCCAGGAGCUUAUGAACGGCCACUCUUCCAACUAUCAGGUGGAGCUGGAGGACGAUGAUGACUCAGACAGCAGCAGCCCUCCACUUCCCUACCUACAGACCCCUGCGCCAGACGACUGCUGCACAUUGGAUGGGUUCUGUCAGGCCGGCAAGGACCUCCGCCUGGUCUCCAUAACAACGGAGCCCAUCGAAGUCCCAGCAGGCUUCGAGCUGGUCGGUGCAAAGUCCCCCAGCGUGCCCGAGCACAUCCUGGUGUGUGCCGUGGACCGCCGCUUUUUGCCUGACGAGAAUGGGAAAAAUGCACUUUUAGGCUUUUCAGGAAACUGUGUGGGCUGUGGGGAAAAGGGUUUCAGAUACUUCACUGAGUUUUCAAACCACAUCAACCUGAAGUUAUCCACCCAGCCCAAGAAGCAGAAGCACUUAAAAUACUACCUGGUGAAGAAUUCUCAGGGUGCUCUGUGCAAAGGACCCCUCAUCUGCUGGAAAGACUGUAAAACCCGCCAGUUCUCUAGCAGUGCAUCAACGUCCAAACCCAGCUCGUCCUCCUCUCUCAGCAGCAAAGAAAAUGGAGGUGCCAGUGGACACAGCUCCUCUCCCUUCUCCCUCUCAGAUUCUCCAGACACCAGAACAAUGCAAGUAUCCUCAAUCUUUUUCGGGAGUCAGGACCUCGGCAGAGACUGCAGUUUCCCCAAACCUCUUUCAUCCCCAUCUGGAAACAAGACUCUACCAAUAGUGCCCACAGCUCUGAGGGUGAAUGGGCCGACAAAUAGCCUGGGUGUUGAUGGGCGUCCUCCCUUACUGAGCCCCUCCGUGGUCUCUUUAGGGCCACCAGGUCAGGGGUAUCGCAAUGCUGACUUAGGAGACAGUCCUGUAUCCACUGCCAUGAACUCGGGUCCUCCAAAGAAGCGCCACCGAAGCUGGCAUCCCAACUCGUUGGUACCUGUCCCACCAACGGCCGUCUCUGUGCCAGCCAUCCGGCCGAUAGGUUGUUCUCCAGGUUUAGUAUUAGGAGUGUCCUCUCCUCAGCCACCAGUAGCAGGAGUCCUUCAGCCCCAACCUGUCAGCGCUGGAGAGACUGUCAUCGUCCCCGACAGCCUGCUCAACUCUUCAGGAGUUCGCCCUGUCAUCCUCAUCGGGCAUGGCACUUUACCUUAUUUUUAUGGGAAUGUUGGGGACAUAGUGGUGAGCCCCCUCCUGGUCAGCUGCUAUAAUAACAGCCAGUUGACAGAGAAAACCCUGGAGACGUUGGGCCUCAACAGCAGCCAGCUUCUCUGUGUGGAGACAAUGAUUCUGCUCACUUUACAGUAUCUUGCACGUUUAGGCUCGGUGCAGAUUCCUCUGAGGGAGGAGCUGGAGCAGAUUGUUUUGAAGGCCAUGCUGUGCUGUCCUAGGGGUCCUGCCAUCUCCCCGUCCCAGCUGCCCUGGUUAGCUCGGCUGGAAUCCAGCGUCUCAGGGGGCAGUGUCCAAGUCAUGGUUACCCAUAACUCUUUGGGAGAAGGCAUCGCUGAGUCACUUCGGUCUCUCAGUGAGGGUCCUCACAACCAGAAGUGCCUGCCAACCUAUGUUGUCAUUAUAUGUGCCUCUAAAAUGAGUGGCAGCGAGUUCUGUGUGCUAGUUUUGGGAAAGUACCAAGCAAGGGCCUUAGCUGAGGGGAUGCUUACAACCAAUGAGUUUCUGAAGGAAAUCAGUUACGAACUCAUCACAGGGAAAGUCAGCAUCUUGGCAUCUCACUUCAAAACCACGUCACUAGGGGACAAUUUGGACAAGCAGCUUGUGCGAUAUCAGCGCAGGCGGAAGGGACAGGUCAUCCAGCCCUUCCAGAGCGAUGGCACUUACCACAUCCACUCCCAGGAGGCUGCCAGCAUGUCACCACCCUCAGACAGAGCAGAGCUGUUAUGUAAGGUCUUCCAGAUCUAUCCGACUCAGCUGAGUGUGGCUCGGAGUCUCCUCUCUCAAGUCUGCUCCAUCGCGGACUCAGGAACCCAGAACCUCGACUUGGGGCGUUUUUGUAAAGUGGACUUUCUUGUUCUAGUCCCUCCAUCUCACAUUCUGGUACACCAGACAGCACAGCGCAUUCGACAAUCAGGAGUUCUUGUCGACCUGGGAAUCGAGGACGUCUGCACAGCCCACCAGAAAUCAGACAAGUACGUGGUGCGUCUAGACGGUGAAGUUCACGCCAAGAUGGAAGCCUUCAUGAGGAAAGUCAAGCAGAACCCCUACACCCUGUUUGUCCUCAUUCACGACAACUCUCAUGUCGACCUCACAAGUGCUCUGUCAGGCUCUGUGUGCCACGGCGAGCUGCAGGGUUUGGCUGACCGGGUGGUGAACUGCCAGGAAGUCCUGGAUGCCAUGAACCUCCUGGUCCUGCAGGUCAGCUGCUUCCCGCACACACUGCAGACCCGCCAGUCCCGCAUCAGCAUCCACAACGAAGUUCACUGGCCCUCCAACGAAAGUCUGCAGGGGGAGCAGUCUCCUAAUGAGUUGCUCUACUUUGGCCUGAGGGACUACAGCAGCUCCCUGCAGUGGGGCGUGGCCAGCCCCAUUCUGCGUUGUGAUGAUGCCUUUGAGAAGAUGGUCCACACACUGCUGGAAAGACAUCCGCACCUUCACAGCAUGGUGAUCCGCAGCUACCUGCUGAUUCAGCAGUACACUGAGGCCAUGAUGGCCCUGACCUCUUCUCCGUCGCUUAGAGACCACAUAACCCCAGAGACCCUGGCCAUGGUGGAGGACCUGAUCAACGCGCCAAGCAGAGAGGGCUCCCAGGGCCGUGGCCACAUGCUCUUGGUUCGAGUCCCCUCACUACAGCUGGCAAUGCUGGCCCGGGAACGACUAGAGGAUGUUAGGGACAAACUGGGCCUCCAGUUGUGCUUUGCCGUGCUGCUGGGAAGCCCGGCCUCGGAACUCAACCUGCACAGAAACUUCACCAGCCGCCUCAAGGCCUGGAGAGGCUGUGAGAAUGGAGACUGGGUACCGCACACUUAUGAGGAUCUGGAAGGGCUGCCCUGCAUCGUCAUCCUUACAGGAAAGGACCCUCUUGGAGAAACCUUUCCCAGGUCUCUGAAAUACUGCGACCUGCGUCUGAUAGACUCCAGCUACCUGAGUCGUACAGCCCUGGAGCAGGAGGUGGGGCUGGCCUGCACCUACGUGUCCAUGGGCGUGGUCCAGGAGCCCAAAAAUGCCAUGGCCCCUCGGGAAUCCGAAGGAGAAAAGGCCACCACCAGCUUGAAUGAUGGAGAAGAGCUGGAAAGGCCUCAGAGCAACGGCAGCGCUGCAACCAGAACCUCUGGCUCUUUUCCAGAGAACGGUGUCAGUUCAUCUGACGUUGCCGACUCUUGCCAGAAGCCCUCCACCUCCACCUGCCCACCCGAAGGUGCCAUCACCUCCGACAUAAGCACAGUAACAUUAACACAAGGCUUCAAGCAGGAGUGUGAUUCCCUCGCAAGCCAGCUCUCCUCCAAUCCCUCCAAAGCCCCUCCCUCUCUUUACUCCAGUUCCUCCUCUUCCUCCCCCUCCCAAUCUUCCUCCUCCGCCCAGAGACCCAGCCAGUCCACACAAUGUGGUCGAGACUCCAAGCCCGCUCGGGUGUCACCGCGGACAGUCAUUUUGUCACGGGCGGCAUACAACCUGCUGGCGGGGGAGUCUGGGAGUCAGCUGAGCUCCUUCUCCCUGCUGCCUCAUGCAGAUGUAGCCUGGAGCAGCCCCCUGAGGCCCCUCAUCACUCACAACCUGCAGGGGGCGGAGCAGAGCAUUUACUACCGCCAGUGGACCAUCGCCAGGCAGCAUCACGCCGAUUACGAAGCUCCAUCUGUGCCACAUCCACGACGCCUGCUACUCAGUGGACCCCCACAGGUGGGAAAAACUGGUGCCUAUCUGCAGUUUCUUCGUAUCCUGUUUCGAAUGCUCAUCAGAUUGUUGGAGGUAGAUGUGUAUGAUGAGGAAGAGGAGGAGGAAGAAGAAACAUUAGAGGUUACAACUCUAGGAAAUACCCAGUUGCCUGACAUUGAGGAAGUGCGAAAGCUGCCCUUUGACCCCUACCCCCGGGACCCUAAGUUCAGGAAGGCCAGCCCUGUUUACACUGACAAGAUGCCAAAGUGCUUAAAAGAUUUUAGGCAAGAAGGCGAGAGCCAAACCUCAGCCAAACGAGAGACCAAGUCCAUACGUCUGAGCAGGUUUGCCGCCCACAAUGCCUUUCAUCACUGUGAACAGUGUCACCACUACUGUGAAGCAGGCCCUGCCACACAGCUGUCGGAGUGCACCUUCCAUGCUUUCACCUUCUGCUCGUCCAUGCUGGGGGAGGAAGUCCAGCUCCAGUUUGUCAUUCCCAAAGCCAAGGAGCAUCACUUUGUCUUCAGUCAACAGGGCAGCCACUUGGAGAGCAUGCGCCUACCUCUGGUCUCCACCAAGGAUCCUGAUGUGUUCAAGAGUCCAAUCUUCACCCCUACUACAGGACGUCAAGAGCACGGCCUGCUCAACAUUUUCCAUGCCAUGGAGGGUGCCAUUCAUCUGCAUAUUCUGGUGGUCAAGCAAUUUGAGAUGCCCCAAUACAGAAAGUACUGGCCCAACCACAUCCUGCUCGUCCUGCCAGCUAUGUUCAACAGCGCAGGAGUUGGUGCUGCUCGCUUCAUGAUCAAAGAGCUGUCAUAUCAUAACCUGGAGCUGGAGAGAAACAGACUUGAGGAGCAAGGUGUCCAUAGGCAAGAUGUAUGGCCUUUCAUUGUCAUGAUGGACGACUCCUGCGUGCUGUGGAACACCCAUCAGACAGCAGACAGCAGUGAGACAUCAGAUGGAACGAAUGUGUCACUAAAGACAGUGCUGCAGCAUAUGGAAAACACACCGAAGAUCUCCCUGUACGCAAUGUGCGGUACACGCAGGUGGAGCAGCAGCCUGGCUCGCAAAUCUCCCAGCCACCCCUUCAGCCGGUGUCACCUCCAUGACUUUGUCAUGCUUAAUGUGGACCUGACACAGAAUGUUCAAUAUGACCUUAAUCGGUAUAGCUGUGAGGAGGUGGACUUUAAUCUAAGGGUGAACAGCAGUGGGCUGCUGCUGUGUCGCUUUAACUACUUUAGCCUAAUGAAGAAACACAUUCCAGUUGGGGGAAACCAUGACUUCGUGGUCAAACCUAAACUCAUGGAAAUAGAAAACCCCGCCACAAUCAGCCCGUCGCAGUAUGUUUGCGCCCCAGACAGCGAGCAGACCCUGCUGGACGCCCCGGCCCAGUUCUUGCUUGAAAAGUUCCUGCAAAGCUGUAGCCACAGACUGUUUCCGAAGGCUGUUCAGAACAGGAACAACCCAGUUCUGGCCAUCGACAGCUACCUCAACAUCAGCCCGGAGAUUUCUGUGUGCUACAUCAACUCUCGUCCACACUCCACCAACCUGAACCAUCAGGGCCUGCUGUUCAGUGGCCUCCUGCUUUACCUUUGUGACUCUUUCGUCGUAUCUGGACUCCUCAAGAAAUUCCGCUUCCUCAAAGGCGCCACUCUGUGCGUGAUCUGCCAGGACCGAAGUUCCCUGCGUCAGACCGUCAUCAGAUUGGAGCUGGAGGACGAGUGGCAGUUCCGCCUGCGGGACGAGUUUCAGACGGCCAACUGCAGCGAGGACCGGCCCCUCUACUUUCUGACUGGCCGCCAUGUUUGAACCUGAAACAUCCUGAAUCGACUGCUCUGCUGCAGAAACACAAUCAGAAAUGAGGAUAGAUUUAAUUCCAAACCAACCAGCGAUUACAAUUCUUGCCAUUCCAGUGGAAGGUCAGAGGGGAUAUGCUGGAGCACAAGAUCCAAAGUGCCCCAUGAGUGGACACAAAACCACCUGAUAUGGCUUUCCUUUAAUCUGUACUGCCACAGUGCACUACGCCUGGGUCAGUGCUUGUUUUAAUGCUUGCUUGUAGCUGGGCUUCUCUCCGCUUGAACUUGUGUUCUACUGAAAAAGAAUUUACUGUGGAAAAAAAGCACAGCACAGCUGAAACUUUAUUUGUUUUGAUGUUCGCCGAAAUAGACGCUCUCAGAUCAAUGAUGUAACCAUUUGAAGAUUGUAUGUGUCCAUACAUAUAUACUUUGACUAUAGUGUGUCCCAUUCUGGACAUACAUGUUUAUCUCAGGGUUUUAAAGGUUGCUUGAAGGGACAAAGCUAUUCUCCAAGUUCACCAUGUAUUUUUGGCAUUAACUUAUGUUGGCACCAAAGGCAUCCUCAGCUGCCCUUUGCCUUUUCCUUUCGCUUUUCUUGUCCCUCCUUACCUGCUAUGCCUCUCAAACUCCACAAAGCUCAUUGACAAGAAAGCUCACUACAUUGAAGAAAUAUUAACAUAGAGUUUGGCCUGUAUUGGGUUUCCAUCAUUGAUUGACUCUCUCUAUAUGUGAAUCUGAAUAUAUUUAUGUGGCAUCAGUAAUCCUUCUGACGAGGAGCUGUAUGAGUGUGGUUUUAGUCUCUAAAUGACUGACCCAUUUAUUUAUCCAAAGACGUUAUUCACAACUAAAGACAAGUACAAGUUGUCCUUUCAAGAAUGUAGUAUGAUAAUGUUCUAUUAUGGCUGAAAUAUACAUUCUGUAACUAUGAAGCAGGUCUGUUGUCCAGAACACACUUAUGUGACUUGCCACAGGGUUUUAUUGUACAACUCACCUGUUAAUGUUUAAUGCCAAUCAGACGGAGCAACAUAAAUUACAUAUGUUUAGUAUUUAGGCAUGUACUGACUUGAAUACUGGGUAUUUUAAGCAUAAUCACAUUACGUCAGUAAAUGCUGUAUAAUAAGCAAGCCUCUUCACUGCCAAAUAUCCUGCUGCGGACUGUGCCUGGGCUUUCACCUCCUGUUUCAAUGUUCUGAGGCUGACGUUGAUGGUCUUGGCUACCAUCCACACACUAAACUCACAAUCUGCCAUCUCUUGCCCCCAAACCAAAGGAUAAUCAAAGAAAGGGUAACACGCUGUCAAAAGCAGAUGACCAGAUUAUUCCCUAUACUUGAAAGUAGAAUGUUUUUAUAUGUUUCUGCACAGGGUUGUCCAAAGAAUAUGCCUUAAAUGUCGUUUCAUACAGUUACUGAUCAAGUCACAAUUUUUUUUUCGGACCAAUGAGAAUGAAGAAACCAUUAACUGUGAGGCGAAGAAAUGUUGUUUUUCUGAGUGAAGCUAAAUGAAAUAAUUGGAUUUCGGACUACUGUACUGUUUAAAGCGUUGUUUACAUUAUUAAUAUAUUAUAUCAUCCCCUUAACCACUGAGGGUUACUGAUGUUUUUUUUAGUCUUGUGUAACUUUUGCCAGUAUAUUUUGGUCAUGAUGUCUUAUUGCAUUUUAUUUUAUGUUGCAAAGGCUAGAAAAAAAAUCUACCUAGAUGUGUCCUUAACCACAUGUCUGUAUCCCUACCUGUUCUUGUGUUGGAUUUUUAUUGAAAAUGAAAAUCAGGUCCAUGAGGGAUUCUUAUUUAUUUGACAAGCAUUUUGGACUGAUAAUCAUAUAGAAGUGUAAUAUUUGAUUGCAAGCUUGCCUAAACCAAGGGAGUGUGUCCUCUCCUCUUCAAAACCAUCCAUAAAGGCUUUGCACGAGACCUAAAUGAAUGAUUAUUAGAUCUACUGAACAUCAUUAGGGGUAGGAAAUAUGAACUAGCAGUAUACAAGUUAAGACAGAUAAGAAAUGUUUCCCACUAUUGAAUUAACCCCAAAUGAGUCCAUAUAUAAGACUGGGGAUCAAAACUUUAACUUAAACUCCAAUGGUCCACAGAAUGUGUCUUUCCUUUUAAAAAUUGAACACUUAAUAUGCAACUUGCUCUCACAAUCUUCACUGAAAUGUGUUUGAUAACCAUGUGCAGCCCAGUGGUAGCCUUGUGUCUGGGUGAUCUACCUCAUUUUUGUGCUUGUGGGCUGUGAACAUAAUGACAUUUGAGCCAUGUUAUUGUUGUUAAAAGAUUAUUAAUGUAUUAAAAUGACUUCUAAAAUCA
This is an RNA transcript of Sander lucioperca (pikeperch), 8117 nucleotides long. It is a transcript of the gene named GREB1 like retinoic acid receptor coactivator, with no coding region annotated. The record is from RefSeq and is a predicted model, not a curated record. NCBI's taxonomy places the organism in Eukaryota, Metazoa, Chordata, Actinopteri, Perciformes, Percidae. The transcript has 33 exons.